GUAGGUGGCAAGCGUCGUCCGGAAUCAUUGGGCGUAAAGCGCGCGCAGGCGGUCCUUUAAGUCUGAUGUGAAAGCCCACGGCUCAACCGUGGAGGGUCAUUGGAAACUGGGGGACUUGAGUACAGAAGAGGAAAGCGGAAUUCCAAGUGUAGCGGUGAAAUGCGUAGAGAUUUGGAGGAACACCAGUGGCGAAGGCGGCUUUCUGGUCUGUAACUGACGCUGAGGCGCGAAAGCGUGGGGAGCAAACAGGGAUUAGAUACCCUGGUAGUCCACGCCGUAAACGAUGAGUGCUAAGUGUUAGGGGGUUUCCCGCCCCUUAGUGCUGCAGCUAACGCAUUAAGCACUCCGCCUGGGGAGUACGGCCGCAAGGCUG
Molecule: ribosomal RNA, 373 nt
Filed under: uncultured organism
Description: partial 16S ribosomal RNA
Rfam family: Bacterial small subunit ribosomal RNA
Source: RNAcentral